Molecule: ribosomal RNA, 440 nt
Filed under: uncultured bacterium
Lineage: Bacteria
Description: bacterial SSU rRNA
Rfam family: Bacterial small subunit ribosomal RNA
Source: RNAcentral
AACGGAAGUUUCGGAUGGAAGUUUAGAAACUUAGUGGCGGACGGGUGAGUAACGCGUGGGUAACCUGCCUCAUACAGGGGGAUAACAGUUAGAAAUGACUGCUAACACCGCAGAAUAUAGCGAAACCGCAUGAUUUUGCUAUCAAAUAUUUAUAGGUAUGAGAUGGGCCCGCGUCUGAUUAGCUAGUUGGUGGGGUAAAAGCCUACCAAGGCGACGAUCAGUAGCCGGCUUGAGAGAGUGACCGGCCACAUUGGGACUGAGACACGGCCCAAACUCCUACGGGAGGCAGCAGUGGGGAAUAUUGGACAAUGGGGGGAAACCCUGAUCCAGCGACGCCCGCGUGAGUGAAGAAGUAUUUCGGUAUGUAAAGCUCUAUCAGCAGGGAAGAUAAUGACAGUACCUGACUAAGAAGCCCCGGCUAACUACGUGCCAGCAGCAGC